RNAcentral lists this ribosomal RNA (346 nucleotides) under uncultured bacterium. RNAcentral's name for it is "bacterial SSU rRNA". It matches the Rfam family "Bacterial small subunit ribosomal RNA", at positions 1 to 334 of the family's 1533-position model. The record is from RNAcentral.
AGAGACGAGUCAGAGUUUGAUCCUGGCUCAGGACGAACGCUGGCGGCGUGCCUAACACAUGCAAGUCGAGCGGGGAAGAUUGGAAGCUUGCUUUUGAUCUUUCUAGCGGCGGACGGGUGAGUAACGCGUGAGCAAUCUGUCUCAAACAGGGGGAUAACGCAGCGAAAGUUGCACUAAUACCGCAUAAGACCACAGUGCCGCAUGGUACAGGGGUCAAAGGAGCAAUCCGGUUUGAGGUGAGCUCGCGUCCCAUUAGGUAGUUGGUGAGGUAACGGCCCACCAAGCCUGCGAUGGGUAGCCGACCUGAGAGGGUGAUCGGCCACACUGGAACUGAGACACGGUCCAG